Molecule: non-coding RNA, 83 nt
Organism: Potamilus streckersoni
Lineage: Eukaryota; Metazoa; Mollusca; Bivalvia; Unionida; Unionidae
Source: the annotation of a GenBank genome assembly
UCUGGGAGCCGCGAUAGCUCAGUUGGUAGAGCGUCUGACUUGUAAUCCAAGAGUGAUUGGUUCGAUACCAGGGCAGCCCAGAU